UGAAGUAUUGUUUGCCCGUAGAA
RNAcentral lists this non-coding RNA (23 nucleotides) under Rattus norvegicus (Norway rat). Lineage: Eukaryota; Metazoa; Chordata; Mammalia; Rodentia; Muridae. The record is from RNAcentral.